RNAcentral lists this ribosomal RNA (443 nucleotides) under uncultured bacterium. RNAcentral's name for it is "partial 16S ribosomal RNA". It matches the Rfam family "Bacterial small subunit ribosomal RNA", at positions 338 to 795 of the family's 1533-position model. The record is from RNAcentral.
CCUACGGGAGGCAGCAGUGGGGAAUAUUGGGCAAUGGGCGCAAGCCUGACCCAGCAACGCCGCGUGAAGGAAGAAGGCUUUCGGGUUGUAAACUUCUUUUAGCAGGGACGAAGCAAGUGACGGUCCCUGACGAAUAAGCCACGGCUAACUACGUGCCAGCAGCCGCGGUAAGACGUAGGUGGCAAGCGUUAUCCGGAUUUACUGGGUGUACAGGGCGUGUAGGCGGGACUGCAAGUCAGAUGUGAAAACCCCGGUCUCAACCUGUGGCCUGCAUUUGAAACUGUAGUUCUUGAGUACUGGAGAGGCAGACGGAAUUCCUAGUGUAGCGGUGAAAGGCGUAGAUAUUAGGAGGAACACCAGUGGCGAAGGCGGUCUGCUGGACAGCAACUGACGUUGAGGCGCGAAAGCGUGGGGAGCAAACAGGAUUAGAUACCCGGGUAGUC